AAGCAGGAUCGGUCUCACCAUACACUGAAAACUGUAGAAUAUGCAAGGCACAUGGAACUUAUUUUCUUACGUAUAAAAGCGUGUAUAUGCUCCUUAUACAUCUGUCCUAAUGCUUUCCAACAGUCCUCACUCUAAGCCUCACCAAGACCCAGAUGAGGAAACAAAGGCACAGAGGGAUAAACUCAGAGCAGGAAGACAGCAAGGAAUAGCAGUGAAAAGCAUGGUGCUUAAUCCAACCCCUUACUCACUGCUGAGACCUGGAAAUGUGUUCAUCAGCUACAAAACAGGAGAGAUGAUAACUCAUUAUGUAUAUGUGAUGAUAAACAGAGACAAUAUAUUGAAGAGCUUAUAUGAGUGGCAGACAUGGGACAUGCUUCCCUGUGGCUGGCCAGCCUGUCAUCUUCUCCACCAUGUGUCCAGAGAAAAGCUUUGCAAAUCAACCUCUCGAUGAAUGAUGAUGGCACCAGUGAAAUCAGGGGAGGCAGAAAAUCAUGUUAGUUUGGUUUAUAAUGCAAGAAGUUACAGAACACAGAGUGCUCAAAACUAAGAAUGUGCUAGUUGUAUAACAGGGUCCUUCUUGGGACUCAGCCAGGAUUCAAACUAUAAAGGAAAAUCGGGCGAGCAGGUGGGAUAGUCAAGUGAUUCUAUUUGCAUGAAUAAAUUUGUGAGAUGAUACCUUCUUGUCCAGGAACAUUGAGCAGUGCUCGUGCUGGGUGGAUUGUGAUGUGGAAACCCUGGGAGAUGUCAUGUCUGACAUCAACUUUCUCCCAGGUGACAGCUGCACCCUCUAAAGGCUUCUCAAGUGACAGAGCUCAAUGAAUAUAGAAGGGAAAAGUAUGAGGAUGACCUAUGAGCACAGGGUGGACAGUCUCUGCGGUGGGCAGGCAUUAGCAAAGGAGAGACCUUCUGUAUUAUGCAGAGUGGAAUUUUCCAGAGGCUACAUGAUGAGUGAUGUCACGACAGAUUGAGUACAGAGCCAACUAUGAGAAUCCAGCUGCCUUCUAUUAAGGUACCCUUUCUGUGGGUACCUUCAAGUUCCAGCACCAAAUAUGAAGGCGACUGCCAUCACCAGCUCCCACCCCUACAUAAGGUCAAAUCCCUGGAUGGCAUAUAACACACUAGAGCAAUUAAGAGGAUCUAACUAAAGGUGGGGAAGGAAAAAUGUGUGUACAGAGACAGGAAGUCAUGGACACAGUUAUAUUGAAAGAUACAAUGACCUCCUC
Molecule: long non-coding RNA, 1223 nt
Filed under: Pan troglodytes (chimpanzee)
Lineage: Eukaryota; Metazoa; Chordata; Mammalia; Primates; Hominidae
Description: lincRNA
Source: RNAcentral